This 71-nucleotide transfer RNA is filed under the name Methanothrix sp. RNAcentral's name for it is "tRNA-Cys". It matches the Rfam family "tRNA". Rfam says of the family: Transfer RNA (tRNA) molecules are approximately 80 nucleotides in length. Their secondary structure includes four short double-helical elements and three loops (D, anti-codon, and T loops). RNAcentral also lists the same sequence under 3 other names. The record is from RNAcentral. Lineage: Archaea; Methanobacteriati; Methanobacteriota; Methanomicrobia; Methanotrichales; Methanotrichaceae.
GCCGGGGUGACUGACCGGUUAAGUGCGCGGCUGCAGACCGCGAGAAUUGGGUUCGACUCCCAACCCCGGCC